RNAcentral lists this ribosomal RNA (447 nucleotides) under uncultured bacterium. RNAcentral describes it as "bacterial SSU rRNA". It matches the Rfam family "Bacterial small subunit ribosomal RNA", at positions 29 to 507 of the family's 1533-position model. The record is from RNAcentral.
AACGAACGCUGGCGGCAGGCUUAACACAUGCAAGUCGAACGCCCCGCAAGGGGAGUGGCAGACGGGUGAGUAACGCGUGGGAACGUACCUUUCAGUUCGGAAUAACUCAGGGAAACUUGUGCUAAUACCGGAUGCGCCCGCAAGGGGAAAGAUUUAUCGCUGAAAGAUCGGCCCGCGUUGGAUUAGCUAGUUGGUGGGGUAAAGGCCUACCAAGGCGACGAUCCAUAGCUGGUCUGAGAGGAUGAUCAGCCACACUGGAACUGAGACACGGUCCAGACUCCUACGGGAGGCAGCAGUAAGGAAUAUUGCUCAAUGGCCGAAAGGCUGAAGCAGCAACGCCGCGUGGAGGAUGAAAUACUUUUGUAUGUAAACUCCUGUAAGAAGGGAAAAUAUUCCGAUUUAUCGGGAUUGAUUGUACCUUCAGAGUAAGCCCCGGCUAACUACGUG